CAAAAACAAACAUUCCAACAGCAUUUGGUCUGGCUUGUGGCUGGGAGUCUGGCUUAUUUGGGGGGAGUAACGAAGCUGAAGAUACACUAAGGAAUGCAGAGACACAUGCUGGAUGGAUGUACAGAACUUAUAGGAGUACAAUUUGUGUGAAGAGACAAGGCAUGGAGCAGCAAUAAUCUGUUGUCGAGCAGUCAGGAUCAUGGCAUGGCAUUUAUUUGGCAAGCUCUUGGGGUAAUGUAUAUCUACAUAAAUCUAUCACCUCAAAGCCUCUAUGGUACUUAUGGAAGUAAUUCUUAUAGUUAACAGAAGCUGCACUGCAGAGAGACUGAGAAUCUGUCUACCACUUUCCCGUGGUCUUUGUUCAAGCGAAAAGAUAAGAAGAGACCUUAACAGGUCUCACAGUAGAUCCUCGAUAAGUCGCAUCUAAAUGACUUAAAGGAGGCUCCUCUCCCAAGUACUUGCUCCCAACAAACUCCAUCAGUUAGUUAUCCUACCCUCUCUGCCAUGGAGUAUUCCAAACGGACACUGGCAGUGCGUAGCACACGCAAUGCAAAAAUCUUGUUGCAAGCUGUAACAAGUGGAAGCAGACUCCACUCCUGGCUGGAGCUGGAGCUGGAACUGUGCCUGUGGCUGGG
RNAcentral lists this long non-coding RNA (635 nucleotides) under Drosophila guanche. Lineage: Eukaryota; Metazoa; Arthropoda; Insecta; Diptera; Drosophilidae. The record is from RNAcentral.